GGUUGUGUAGUGUAGUGGUUAUCACUCCGGAUUUUGAUUUCUCGUCAAAAGCUUCCGGCGACCCCGGUUCGAGUAUGUCUCCCUCA
This is a non-coding RNA of Lophiostoma macrostomum CBS 122681, 86 nucleotides long. The record is from the annotation of a GenBank genome assembly. NCBI's taxonomy places the organism in Eukaryota, Fungi, Ascomycota, Dothideomycetes, Pleosporales, Lophiostomataceae.